UUAAUCCUGUUUGAUAAGGGCAUCCGAGGUUAAUCCUGUUUGAUAAUGGUGUCCGAGGUUAAUCCUGUUUGAUAAGGGUGUCCGAUGUUAAUCAUGUUUGAUAAGGGUGUCCAAGGUUAAUCAUGUUUGAUAAUGGUGUCCGAUGUUAAUCAUGUUUGAUAAGGGUGUCCGAUGUUAAUCCUGUUUGAUAAGGGUGUCCGAGGUUAAUCAUGUUUGAUAAUGGUGUCCCAGGUUAAUCCUGUUUGAUAAGGUGUCCGAUGUUAAUCAUGUUUCAUAAUGGUGUCCGAGGUUAAUCAUGUUUGAUAAGGGUGUCCGAGGUUAAUCCUGUUUGAUAAGGGGGUCCGAGGUUAAUCAUGUUUGAUAAGGGCGGCCGAGGUUAAUCAUGUUUGAUAAGGGAGUCCGAGGUUAAUCAUGUUUGAUAAGGGCGGCCGAGGUUAAUCAUGUUUGAUAAGUGUGUCCGAUGUUAAUCAUGUUUGAUAAGGGUGUCCGAUGUUAAUCAUGUUUGAUAAGGGUGUCCGAGGUUAAUCAUGUUUGAUAAGGGUGUCCGAGGUUAAUUAUGUUUGAUAAUGGUGUCCGAGGUUAAUCAUGUUUGAUAAUGGUGUCCCAGGUUAAUUAUGUUUGAUAAUGGUGUCCCAGGUUAAUCAUGUUUGAUAAGGGCGUCCGAUGUUAAUCAUGUUUGAUAAGGGUGUCCAAGGCUAAUCAUGUUUGAUAAUGGUGUCCCAGGUUAAUUAUGUUUGAUAAUGGUGUCCCAGGUUAAUUAUGUUUGAUAAGGGUGUCCGAGGUUAAUCAUGUUUGAUAAGGGUGUCCGAGGUUAAUCAUGUUUGAUAAGGGUGUCCGGGGUUAAUCCUGUUUGAUAAGGGCGUCCGAGGUUAAUUAUGUUUGAUAAGGGUGUCCGAGGUUAAUUAUGUUUGAUAAGGGUGUCCGAUGUUAAUCCUGUUUGAUAAUGGUGUCCGAGGUUAAUCAUGUUUGAUAAGGGUGUCCGAGGUUAAUCAUGUUUGAUAAGGGUGUCCGAGGUUAAUCAUGUUUGAUAAGGGUGUCCGAGGUUAAUCCUGUUUGAUAAGGGUGUCCGAGGUUAAUCAUGUUUGAUAAGUGCGUCCGAGGUUAACCAUGUUUGAUGAGGGCGUCUGAGGUUAACCAUGUUUGAUAAGGGCGUCCGAGGUUAAUCAAGUUUAAUAAGGGUGAAGCCCGAGUGAAACAAUGUCAUGAUUAAAUGAGUAGAAACAAAGAACCGUGAUUCCCUAUAGCAAGGGCAAUAGAUACUUUAUUAUGCAAUAUAAAUCAAUCGAUCCAAAACAAUAAUCAAAAAUAGAAAUGAUCAGGUUGACAUGCAAUUGUUGUCAUCUGCUUACAUCAUUCGGAGCUAGGUUGUGGUGGCUAUAGCUCUUGCAGAUUUUUCUAGAGAUGCUCCCAAUAAGGAAACAUGAUUGAGGAAACUUGAAUGUGUGAGGGCGACAUGAUGUUUUAUUUCCCUGUCAUGUGACCAGUAUCAUCCAAAAUGAAAUGGACACUCAGGACUAUGAUCGAUUAAGUUCUCACCAUUUUCAUAGGUUAAAAAUGCCGUUAACGUUUGAUAUGCUGGGUAACUGGCAAUAGAACAUGAUAUAAAGAGGGGUUUUACCUAAUCACAUGAUAUAAAACAGACUUAGUUGUCUUUAUGUCUUUCAUUCCUUGUGUACAUAAAUCUUUAAAAUAAUAA
RNAcentral lists this long non-coding RNA (1696 nucleotides) under Mizuhopecten yessoensis (Yesso scallop). Its description in RNAcentral is "uncharacterized LOC110453636". Lineage: Eukaryota; Metazoa; Mollusca; Bivalvia; Pectinida; Pectinidae. The record is from RNAcentral.